RNAcentral lists this ribosomal RNA (548 nucleotides) under Diplodinium anisacanthum. RNAcentral describes it as "SSU rRNA". It matches the Rfam family "Eukaryotic small subunit ribosomal RNA", at positions 109 to 768 of the family's 1831-position model. Lineage: Eukaryota; Ciliophora; Litostomatea; Entodiniomorphida; Ophryoscolecidae. The record is from RNAcentral.
GUUAUUGUUUAUUUGAUACAACAAAUGGAUAACUGUAGAAAAACUAGAGCUAAUACAUGCUUUAACCGCAAGGUUGUAUUUAUUAGAUAUUCCGGAUUGGUGAAUCAUAAUAACUUCACAAAUCUCGUUUAUGACAAGAUAAAUCAUCCAAGUUUCUGCCCUAUCAUGCUUUCAAUGGUAGUGUAUUGGACUACCAUGGCUCUCACGGGUAACAGGGAAUUAGGGUUCGAUUCUGGAGAAGGAGCCUGAGAAACGGCUACUACAUCUACGGAAGGCAGCAGGCACGAAAAUUACCCAAUCCUGACUCAAGGAGGUGGUGACGAGAUAUAACAACGCGAUCAAAAUCGCGAUUGUAGUGAGGGUAUUCUAAACAGAACCUAUAGUACGAUUAGAGGGCAAGUCUGGUGCCAGCAGCCGCGGUAAUUCCAGCUCUAAUAGCGUAUAUUAAAGUUGCUGCACUUAAAAAGCUCGUAGUUGGAUUUCAAGGACUGUAGACCCCUCUGGGGAAUACAUCCUACUAGUCAUUGACUGUUACUGUGAGAAAAUUA